Molecule: ribosomal RNA, 357 nt
Filed under: Synalpheus aff. brevifrons KMH-2014
Lineage: Eukaryota; Metazoa; Arthropoda; Malacostraca; Decapoda; Alpheidae
Description: partial 16S ribosomal RNA
Source: RNAcentral
AUAUUUAUUGAAGGGCUGCGCGUAAUUUGACCGUGCAAAGGUAGCAUAAUCAAUAGUCUUUUAAUUGGAGGCUUGGAUGAAAGGUUUGACGGAGGGAAAACUGUCUUUUUAAUUGAUAUUGAAUUUAACUUUUAUGUGAAAAGGCAUUAAUGAUUUAGUGGGACGAUAAGACCCUAUAAAGUUUUACAUGUGUAUUGAUUUAAUUAAAUUGUUUAUUUAAUAAUUAAAUUAUUGAGAUGUGUUUUGCUGGGGCGGCAUGAAUAUAAUGAUUAACUGUUUUUAAUAUCAUAUAUUUAUAGAUAGUGAGUGGUCCYUUAUUUAAGAGGUUAAGAUCAAGUUACUUUAGGGAUAACAGCG